This is a long non-coding RNA of Scomber japonicus (chub mackerel), 413 nucleotides long. RefSeq lists it as uncharacterized. The transcript is spliced from 5 exons. The record is from RefSeq and is a predicted model, not a curated record. Lineage: Eukaryota; Metazoa; Chordata; Actinopteri; Scombriformes; Scombridae.
AGAAAAACGUGUGGGAGACGUGACUCUGAUGUCUGUUUAAACGUGAGAUGCUGGGUCCCCCAUGACAGAGCCGCUGCCAUGGGAUGAAACUACCAACCCCCAGCCUUUUUCUUUGGAGUAAAGGCAGAGCUACUGAUGAGCUGCUCAGUGUGGAGAUGAAGGUCAUACUGCAGACUGACUGAAGCAGUGUGUGGAGCAGCUGGCCUGUAGGGGGCAGUACACAGCAGGAACCAAAACUGAUGUCAGUGUUGCUUGACUGGUGUGGAGAACUGGAGUCCACCUGCUGGGAUGUGACCAGGCACUUCUGCUCAGCCUGAGUUUGAGGAUGAAAUUUAAACUGUCAAACAUUGAUUACAUCAACUUUACUGAAAUGUAAAAUCUGUGAUGGUUGAAUAAAAUUUGAAAAAUCUGCA